AAAAUUUAAAAUUAUCGAGUAGUUCAGGGGUCCCGCAGAUCUGUCUCUUGCUUCAACAGUGUUUGGACGGAAAAGAUCCCGGGGACUCUUUCUUCCAGCCUCCGACCGCCCCCCAAUUUCCUCUCCACUUGCAACCUCCGAGACCAUCGUCUCGGUCAUCUCCUGCUUCUGGGAACCUGGCUAACACCGUUUUUGUGGUUAGCUCCUUUUUGCCGACCAACCAUGAGCUCCCAGAUUCGUCAAGAAUUAUUCCACCGACAUGGAGGCAGCCGUCAACCACCUGGUCGGCGUGUACCUGCAGGCCGCCUAUACCUACCUCUCUCUGGGCUACUAUUUUGGCCACGAUGAUGUGGCUCUGGAAAGCGCGAGCCACUUCUUCGGCGAAUUGGCCGAGGAGAAGCGCGAGGGCUACAAGCUUCUCCUGAAGAUGCAAAACCAGCAUGGCGGCCGCGCUCUCUUUCAGGACAUCAAGAAGCCGGCUCAAGAUGAGUGGGGUAAAACCCUGGACGCCAUGGAAGCCGCCAUGGCCGCCGCCAUGGCCCUGGAGAAAAAUCGGAACCAGGCCCUUUUGGAUCUUCAUGCCCUGGGUUCUGCCCACACGGACCCCCAUCUCUGUGACUUCCUGGAGAGUCACUUCCUAGAUGAGGAAGUGAAAAUCAUCAAGAAGAUGGGUGACCACCUGACCAACCUCUGCAGGCUGGCCGGCCCAGAGGCUGGACUGGGCGAGUAUCUCUUUGAAAGGCUCUCUCCAGCACAACUAACACAACUAAGAGCCUACUGAGCCCAGCAACUCAUAAAGGGCCUUUGCAAAAUAACAGGGCUUCUGCCUGUUAUUCCACCUUCUCCAGCCACCAGGCAGCUUUCUAACUCCCCUAACAACCCUUGGACCAAAUGGAAAAAAAGCUUUUUGAA
Molecule: RNA transcript, 912 nt
Organism: Sapajus apella (tufted capuchin)
Lineage: Eukaryota; Metazoa; Chordata; Mammalia; Primates; Cebidae
Gene name: ferritin light chain pseudogene
Exons: 1
Source: RefSeq, a predicted model, not a curated record